Neocloeon triangulifer is the source of this 663-nucleotide long non-coding RNA. RefSeq lists it as uncharacterized. Lineage: Eukaryota; Metazoa; Arthropoda; Insecta; Ephemeroptera; Baetidae. The transcript has 3 exons. The record is from RefSeq and is a predicted model, not a curated record.
CCUGGCUGACUCUUGGCGAACGACGACCGCUCUGGCAAAUCCGCCUUCUCCUUUUUGGCCAAAUUGUAUUAUGGUAAGAGAAAGCGAUUUUGAUCUACCUCCAUUAUUACAUUGAAAUGAGUAAUCGGCUUUAAGAUACUUGUACGUACGUUGGCUUGCCUUGCCGGGUGUUAUCGCGACGUGUGUGGGAGCACCAACGACUUCCCUCUCGGCUGUUGAUAUAAGUCACCCCUUUGGGUCGCACGAUAAUACCGUUGCCAUGAAUACCUUAAUAUGCUGCUAUCUGCGUAUGUAUGUAUGCGUGUGAGCGCCUUUUAUCAUCACGACUGCGCUCUUCCUCGUUCCCAGCGCCCCUUUUCGCUUUUCCUCUCCAAAGAGAGGGAUCAACGUGCAGUCUUUUUCGCCGUCCUUUGUGCACAGAUGAAUGGGAAAAAUUCGUGACUCAAAGAUACAAAUUGACCUCGUUUUUGCAUUUGAAAAAUGCUGACGCGUGGAGUUUUCGUAAAAAAGAUUUAACCAUGUAAGAAUUUAGAGAAAUCAAUUGAUCACAUGGUCCAAAUUUAAGCAUUUUAUUUAUUGGAACGAAGAAAAUAAAAGAAGUCGAAUGUUUAAUUUUAGUGUUAUCCUUAUAAAAUGCAAAAAAAAAAAAAAAAAAAAUUAAAA